This is a small nuclear RNA of Suricata suricatta (meerkat), 106 nucleotides long. The record is from Ensembl. NCBI's taxonomy places the organism in Eukaryota, Metazoa, Chordata, Mammalia, Carnivora, Herpestidae.
GUGCUCACUUUGGCAGCGCAUACACUAAAAUUAGAAUGAUAAGAGAAGGUUAGCAUGGUCCCUGAGCAAAGCUGACUUGCAAAUUCGUGAAACAUUCCAGAUUUUU